Molecule: signal recognition particle RNA, 180 nt
Filed under: Selenomonadaceae bacterium
Lineage: Bacteria; Bacillati; Bacillota; Negativicutes; Selenomonadales; Selenomonadaceae
Description: signal recognition particle sRNA large type
Rfam family: Bacterial large signal recognition particle RNA
About the family: The signal recognition particle (SRP) is a universally conserved ribonucleoprotein involved in the co-translational targeting of proteins to membranes. Archaeal SRP consists of a 7S RNA and homologues of the eukaryotic SRP19 and SRP54 proteins.
Source: RNAcentral
UUGUGUUUAAAUACAGAUUUUAUCUGUUUGUUCUUUUUAAGGUCGGGUUAUAGGAUUAGGUCUUUCGCGAUGAGGUCUUGCGAACCCCGUCAGGUCCGGAAGGAAGCAGCGGUAAACAAAUCGCCUUAUGCGCCGAAAGGUUGCCGAAUCCCAUAGCCCGACGUUAAAAAGGAAACGCAG